This 253-nucleotide ribosomal RNA is filed under the name uncultured bacterium. RNAcentral describes it as "partial 16S ribosomal RNA". It matches the Rfam family "Bacterial small subunit ribosomal RNA", at positions 524 to 776 of the family's 1533-position model. The record is from RNAcentral.
UACAGAGGAGCCAAGCGUUGUCCGGAAUUAUUGGGCGUAAAGCGCGUGUAGGCGGCCAGAUAAGUCCGCUGUGAAAUCUCGAGGCUCAACUUCGAGCUGUCGGUGGAAACUGUCUGGCUAGAGUCCGGAAGAGGAGAAUGGAAUUCCUGGUGUAGCGGUGAAAUGCGCAGAUAUCAGGAAGAACACCCGUGGCGAAGGCGGUUCUCUGGGACGGUACUGACGCUGAGACGCGAAAGCGUGGGGAGCGAACAGG